UGGGGAAUCUUGCACAAUGGACGAAAGUCUGAUGCAGCAACGCCGCGUGAGUGAAGAAGGCCUUUGGGUUGUAAAGCUCUUUCGGCUGGGAAGAAGGGAGUGUGUGCUAAUACCACAUGCUUUUGACGGUACCAGCAUAAGAAGCACCGGCUAAUUCCGUGCCAGCAGCCGCGGUAAUACGGGAGGUGCAAGCGUUGUUCGGAGUAACUGGGCGUAAAGCGCACGUAGGUGGGCUUGUAAGUCGAAUGUGAAAUCCCCGGGCUUAACCUGGGAACUGCAUCCGAAACUACAAGUCUUGAAUGCUUCAGAGGUUGGUAGAAUUCCUGGUGUAGGAGUGAAAUCCGUAGAUAUCAGGAGGAAUACCGGAGGCGAAGGCGGCCAACUGGGAGUGCAUUGACACUGAGGUGCGAAAGCGUGGGGAGCAAACAG
Molecule: ribosomal RNA, 429 nt
Filed under: uncultured bacterium
Lineage: Bacteria
Description: bacterial SSU rRNA
Rfam family: Bacterial small subunit ribosomal RNA
Source: RNAcentral